Molecule: ribosomal RNA, 119 nt
Filed under: Pteropus alecto (black flying fox)
Lineage: Eukaryota; Metazoa; Chordata; Mammalia; Chiroptera; Pteropodidae
Source: RNAcentral
CUCUACGGCCAUGCCACCUUGAACAAGCCCAAUCCCGUCUGAUCUCAGAAGCUAAGCCGGGUCAGGCCUGGUUAGUACUUGGAUGGGAGAUCACCUAGGAAGACCAGGUGCCAUAGGCG